AGCGAACGCUGGCGGCAGGCCUAACACAUGCAAGUCGAGCGCCGUAGCAAUACGGAGCGGCAGACGGGAGAGUAACACGUGGGAACGUGCCCUUCAGUUCGGAACAACCCAGGGAAACUUGGGCUAAUACCGGAUACGUCCGUAAGGAGAAAGAUUUAUCGCUGAAGGAUCGGCCCGCGUCUGAUUAGUUAGUUGGUGGGGUAACAGCCCACCAAGGCGAUGAUCAGUAGCUGGUCUGAGAGGACGAUCAGCCUCACUGGGACGGAGACACGGCCCAGACUCCUACGGGGGGCAGCAGUGGGGAAUAUUGGACAAUGGGCGCAAGCCUGAUCCAGCCAUGCCGCGUGGGUGAUGAAGGCCCUAGGGUUGUAAAGCCCUUUCGGCGGGGAAGAUAAUGAUGGUACCCGCAGAAGAAGCCCCGGCUAACUUCGUGCCAGCCGCCGCCGUAA
This 449-nucleotide ribosomal RNA is filed under the name uncultured bacterium. RNAcentral's name for it is "partial 16S ribosomal RNA". It matches the Rfam family "Bacterial small subunit ribosomal RNA", at positions 29 to 523 of the family's 1533-position model. The record is from RNAcentral.